UACAGAGGUCCCAAGCGUUGUUCGGAUUUACUGGGCGUAAAGGGCGCGUAGGUUGUCGGACAAGUCUUAUGUUAAAUCUUCGGGCUUAACCCGAAAAUGUCAUAAGAAACUAGCCGGCUAGAGUGUUGGAGGGGAGAUUGGAAUUCUCGGUGUAGCAGUGAAAUGCGUAGAUAUCGAGAGGAACACCGGAGGCGAAAGCGAAUCUCUUGACAAUAACUGACACUGAAGCGCGAAAGCUAGGGGAUCAAACGGGAUUAGAUACCCCCGUAGUCC
Molecule: ribosomal RNA, 273 nt
Filed under: uncultured bacterium
Lineage: Bacteria
Description: partial 16S ribosomal RNA
Rfam family: Bacterial small subunit ribosomal RNA
Source: RNAcentral